AGUGAACGCUGGCGGUAGGCCUAACACAUGCAAGUCGAACGGCAGCACAGUAAGAGCUUGCUCUUACGGGUGGCGGGUGGCGGACGGGUGAGGAAUACAUCGGAAUCUACUUUUUCGUGGGGGACAACGUAGGGAAACUUACGCUAAUACCGCAUACGACCUACGGGUGAAAGCAGGGGAUCUUCGGACCUUGCGCGAUUGAAUGAGCCGAUGUCGGAUUAGCUAGUUGGCGGGGUAAAGGCCCACCAAGGCGACGAUCCGUAGCUGGUCUGAGAGGAUGAUCAGCCACACUGGAACUGAGACACGGUCCAGACUCCUACGGGAGGCAGCAGUGGGGAAUAUUGGACAAUGGGCGCAAGCCUGAUCCAGCCAUACCGCGUGGGUGAAGAAGGCCUUCGGGCUGUAAAGCCCUUUUGUUGGGAAAGAAAAGCAGCAGGUUAAUACCCCGCUGUUCUGACGGUACCCAAAGGAUAAGCACCGGCUAACUUCGUG
RNAcentral lists this ribosomal RNA (492 nucleotides) under uncultured bacterium. RNAcentral describes it as "partial 16S ribosomal RNA". It matches the Rfam family "Bacterial small subunit ribosomal RNA", at positions 29 to 507 of the family's 1533-position model. The record is from RNAcentral.